AAUGGCCUGCCCUCCCCCGCCCCUCCGUUCCCAUCUCAGAGAGCCCUGGGCCUGUCGCCUCUCUGGCAAGCUGUUUACAAGCAGAAUGUAAUGUGGGCACCAGUAUAUAUUUCUGAACAAUGUGUGAAAAGAGAAGAGCAGAAAGUGAAGUUCGAGAGUAGAUGUGCAGACCAUCUGCUACCGGCCCCAGCCCAGAUGAUACAGUUAGAAUCUACCCACAGCAUCCUCUCCCGCCUUCAGACAGUUCCAGGAACAAGGGUGAGUCAGUCGCCCAGCUGAACUUCGUCUCGCUAGAGACGGGGAGACGGGCCCGAAUCGGGGCCAGCAGAGGGGGCCGCUCUCACCCCUGGGGCAGGUGCCCUGGGCUGCUCCUCAGAGCCAGGAAGGCGACCCCCGCCCCUUGCAGCGUGCCACCCACAGGAGAGGCAGACAGAGGCCUGGGAAUGCCCACGUCGGCUCUUCUCAACCCAGCCUCUCUUUCCCUGGGAGUCGGAUACCCGGUUCAGGAGUUCAAGUGCAGAGCUAGAGCUUGUCCAAAAAUAUCCCCGAGGAGCCAGUGGCCAGAGCGUCACCCUGCUCUGGCUGUCUGUGGAUGGACCCCUGGGUCUGCUUUGGGGUGCAAAGAUGUUUGGUCCCCUCUCACUGGGCCUCUUGGCCUGGCGUCCCCCCCGGGCUGUGGGAGGAUGUUACUGGACGCUAACUGCAGGCCCCCACUCUCAGGUCUGCUAGCCUCCCCGUCUCUCUCUUCCACACUUCCAGCACCUACAGGCUCUCCCUGUGAGUGGAGGAUAUUGAACGUGGUGCCCAGCAUGGAGACUGAAGUCAGACCUUGAAUUAGGGCUCUGUCCUUCAUAAGCUCACGACCCAGGGCAAGGUGGGCUAAUUCCUCGAGCCUCAGUUUACCCAUC
Bos indicus x Bos taurus (hybrid cattle) is the source of this 908-nucleotide long non-coding RNA. Lineage: Eukaryota; Metazoa; Chordata; Mammalia; Artiodactyla; Bovidae. The record is from Ensembl.